AUGCAAGUCGAACGAUGAUGCCCAGCUUGCUGGGUGGAUUAGUGGCGAACGGGUGAGUAACACGUGAGUAACCUGCCCUUAACUCUGGGAUAAGCCUGGGAAACUGGGUCUAAUACCGGAUAUGACUCCUCAUCGCAUGGUGGGGGGUGGAAAGCUUUUUGUGGUUUUGGAUGGACUCGCGGCCUAUCAGCUUGUUGGUGAGGUAAUGGCUUACCAAGGCGACGACGGGUAGCCGGCCUGAGAGGGUGACCGGCCACACUGGGACUGAGACACGGCCCAGACUCCUACGGGAGGCAGCAGUGGGGAAUAUUGCACAAUGGGC
RNAcentral lists this ribosomal RNA (322 nucleotides) under Arthrobacter sp. TFSAE14. Its description in RNAcentral is "bacterial SSU rRNA". It matches the Rfam family "Bacterial small subunit ribosomal RNA", at positions 55 to 376 of the family's 1533-position model. Lineage: Bacteria; Bacillati; Actinomycetota; Actinomycetes; Micrococcales; Micrococcaceae. The record is from RNAcentral.